GUCUUUUUGAAAAUAAUUUAAAGUCAAAUCUGCCCACUGAUUGAUUUAAAGGGCUGCAGUAAAUUGACUGUACAAAGGUAGCAUAAUCAUUAGUCUUUUAAUUGAAGACUUGUAUGAAAGAUUUGAUGAGAUAUAAACUGUCUCUUUUUUAUAAUUAGAAUUUAAUUUUUUAGUAAAAAAGCUAAAAUUUAUUUAAAAGACGAGAAGACCCUAUAGAGUUUUAUUAUUCAUUUAAUUAUAAUUUUUUAUUAAAUUUAAAUAAAAAUUAAUUUAAUUAUUUUAUUGGGGUGAUAAAAAAAUUAAAUAAACUUUUUUUGUAUUUAAACAUUAAUUAAUGAUUAUAUGAUCCAUAAAUUAUGAUUAUAAGAAAAAAUUACCUUAGGGAUAACAGCGUAAUUUUUUUUUUUAGUUCUUAUAAAAAAAAAAGUUUGCGACCUCGAUGUUGGAUUAAGAUAAAAUUUAAAUGUAGAAGUUUAAAUUUUUUGAUCUGUUCGAUCAUUAAAAUCUUACA
RNAcentral lists this ribosomal RNA (511 nucleotides) under Ampittia virgata. Its description in RNAcentral is "partial 16S ribosomal RNA". The stretch from base 384 to 511 matches the Rfam family "Bacterial large subunit ribosomal RNA", at positions 2473 to 2600 of the family's 2925-position model. The record is from RNAcentral. Lineage: Eukaryota; Metazoa; Arthropoda; Insecta; Lepidoptera; Hesperiidae.